GCUGGGCAUGGUGGCGCGUGUCUGUAAUCUCAGCUACUUGGGAGGCUGAGGCAGGAGAAUUGCUUGAACCUGGGAGGCGGAAGGUUGCAGUGAGCUGAGAUCGCACCACUGCACUCCAGCCUGAGUGACAGAGUGAGACUGUCUCAAAAAAAAGGAAUCUAAGUCAGCUAAGAUGAGAGCUACAGAUAAAGUGUUUGGUUGAUUUGGAGAGUCUUUUAGAAUUGUAUAUUUAUCUAAACAAGUUAUUUAUUUAUUCUGAGACAUAGUCUCACUCUAUUGCUCAGGCUGGAGUGCAGUGGUGUGAUCUUGGCUCACUGCAACCUCCGUCUCCCGGGUUCAAGCGAUUCUCCUGCCUCAGU
This 359-nucleotide signal recognition particle RNA is filed under the name Pongo abelii (Sumatran orangutan). RNAcentral describes it as "Metazoan signal recognition particle RNA (ENSPPYG00000032839.1)". It matches the Rfam family "Metazoan signal recognition particle RNA". From Rfam's summary of the family: The signal recognition particle (SRP) is a universally conserved ribonucleoprotein. It is involved in the co-translational targeting of proteins to membranes. Lineage: Eukaryota; Metazoa; Chordata; Mammalia; Primates; Hominidae. The record is from RNAcentral.